This 481-nucleotide long non-coding RNA is filed under the name Phoenix dactylifera (date palm). RNAcentral describes it as "long non-coding RNA (PDAC_LNC009504)". The record is from RNAcentral. Lineage: Eukaryota; Viridiplantae; Streptophyta; Magnoliopsida; Arecales; Arecaceae.
CGGUGCUCUCCUAUGCACCUACGUCCACUCCCCAAGCGACCCCUUGGGAAUUCACUAUAAUCCCGCGGAUUACAGUUGGAUUGUUUUUCGGGCUCACAAUCCAAAAACCUUUACACUUUGGUUUUCCAGGAUCACCAAGAACCUAUGUUGGUUUUACGGGCUCACCAACGAACCUUCACAAUUGGUUUUACAGGUUCACCAACAACCUACGUUGGUUUUACGGGCUUACCAACAACCUACACCGUUGGUUUUACGGGCUCACCAACAAACCUUUACCGUUGGUUUUACGGGCUCACCAACAAACCUUUACAAGGUGAUUAAAAAGAAGAAGAAAGUUGAAACUUCUAGAUGAGCAAAUAUAACAAUUAUAAGCUACAAAGAAGAGUUUAGAAUAUAGUUAUCGCUUUAAUAAGGCUCUUCUCUUCUUUGUCAAGAUUGCUUCACACUUCAAGGGUUGGUGGAGCUCUUAAUGUCUCUUGGA